Molecule: ribosomal RNA, 304 nt
Filed under: Heteropachylus sp. MZSP 73206
Lineage: Eukaryota; Metazoa; Arthropoda; Arachnida; Opiliones; Gonyleptidae
Description: partial small subunit ribosomal RNA
Source: RNAcentral
UAAACUAGGAUUAGAUACCCCGGUAUUGAUAAUAAAAGAGGAUUCGUAUGUAGUGAGAAUUAAUAAGUUUGGCGGUUAUUAAUUAGUUAGAGGAGCUUGUUAUUUAUUAAGAAUUUACUCUUUGUAUUUAAUUAGUAUAGAAGGUUUAUUCAUCUCCGUUAUUAGAUUUUUUUGAAGUAAAAUUGAUUUUAAAUUUCAGGUCAAGAUGUAGCAUAUAUACUAAAGAGAAUUAGCUACAAUUAUGAAAUAAUUGGAUUUAUGAAGAUAAAGGUUGGGAAUAAUGAAAUUGAAUUUGAUUGUAAUA